UUACCCCUGCUGCAUUGUGCACAUAUCAAGCAGUCGAACGCAAUGUUCAAAGUUCACGCAGUCAUCUUUUACUCCAUUUAAUGACCUUUCAAAGUGCAGCCAACUAUUACCCAAUGGUACAUAUGAUAUAUUAUCCAUGCCAACGUGAAAAUGAAAACAAGAGACUGAUCCUGUGUGUUUUUAGAUACAUUGAGUACCCUGAGUACGACAACAUCCAAGGCACAUCAGGCAUGACAUUGAGAAAAUAAUCAUCAAAUUAUAGAAGCAAAUAGUAAAAUGCCCUUCUGUGAAGAUACCUGCAAGGCUUUUCAUGUGGAGGUCAAAGCACUGUGGUGCCUGCAUUGAGAGCUGUUGAAGUUCAACCUUAGCAUUUCUCAGAGGAGGGAGAGUGUUUGGACAUCUCUUACUGCACAUGAAGCCAUAUGCAAAUUCCCUGCUCAAGGGGACAUUUUCUUCCACAAUAGAAGUCACCAAACUUCAUCCCAAAGGAUAAGUAUUUGCAUAAAAAUGUGGGAUUGGUAUUUGCAUAGUACACAAGUACACAUGGGGAAAUUUUGUUGUCUAUUUAUGCAAAUUAAAAAUGGGUGUUUUUAAAAUGCACUGAUCCAAUCAAUCACAGUUUGUUUUUGUUUUCUUUAAUGUGAUAUAAUUAUUAUAAUAAUGGGCGAUAUAUUUAAACUUUUUUAAAUGCAAGUACCUCCAAGUACAUUUAAAUCUUCAGCAUAUUUUUGAAAAUAAUCCAUGACCAAAUUUAUAAUUUCAAGAUAAAUUGCAUUCAUUAGAAAAUAACUAUAAAUAUGUUUUCAGCAGAACCAGCAACUGGAUUCUUUGGUAAAUGCAGCAUAACACAUCAUGAUAACCCAGUCCGUUAAAAAUCAGGCUGGGAAUUGCAUGCUCCAGCAUGUUCUUCCAGCCUCUGUUCUCACACUUUUAUGGAAGUGCAUUUUCACACACUCAUUUUUUUUUUUUUUCUCCAUAGGGAACAAAGCUUUCCCUGAAUCCCAGUAUUCUCUUUCUAGGCGGGGACAUGCAGUUUCUGCCUGUGGGCUAGAGUUCUUCAUCAACCUGAGCUGUUUUCUUUCUCUGCCUGGCCUGCUUGACCCGUUUCUCUUGCUGCAGUCCCGGAGGAACUGGUUCCUGUUUGUGAACUCCUGUGAGGAGCUGAAGACUUGUGCGUGUGGAAAAAGAAUGAAUCUCAUUCCUGCUGUAACAGACAGCAAAUUCCGUGUCUGUUUAACUCAGCAGGCCUGUUCUGUUACCCUACUUUAAACAAAACGGUUGUCAUUAUUUAUAAUGGAUAUUAAUGCUUAGAUAUGCUUGGUAUUUGUGCCUCUUCCCAACACACAAUGUACAAUUCAGGUGCAGUUUCUGUAAAUGCUUCAGUCUUGUGCUUUAAGUCUUUUAUGGAAUGUUGUUUAUGGAAAAUGUGAGUACUGCUUACCAGUGCAAAAGUUGAGACCACAAUGCUAGGGAGUUCUGGUUAAGCGACAGAUCUAUGUCAAAAUAGCCCAUUCAGUCGGCGCCGAUAGCCUUGUGGGCAGCAAGCCGACAUACAACACUGUUGCGCUACAGGUGUCCCGAGUUUGAAUCCCAACUCAAGGACCUUUCCCUAUCCCGCCCCUAUCUCUCUCCCCCUUCGCUUCCUGUCAGUUUUGAUCUGUCCUAUCCCAGUAAAUGCAAAAAAAUUAAUUAAAUUAAAUGAAGGCUCUAUGAUAUGCUGCCUUCACGUGCUAUUGGAAAUUUCCUAUUUCCCACUUAUGAAGUCGUGAUUACGAGCUUGUCGCAUUCAAGUGCUUUGUUGUUGGAAAGAAUAAAACUUAGCAUCCCAUUGGUUGAUAAUCAUAUAAACAUUCACCGCGCUAGAUAAUUCUGUAAUUUCAGUCAAAUACAUGCUUCUUUCACCGUUUAUAAAACAUACAAUAUGCUUCAAAUGAUCGUUCAUAUAUAGCCUAUAAAUACCCUACUUUAGCGACAAGACAAAGUGAUGUAGUUGUUGUGAGGAUAGCAUUGACAGCAGCAAUGGUUGUCCCCUCCACCAUGUUUAAAGUUUAUGACCCGCCAAACUCCAAAAACUCUAGUAUCAAAAUUAUUUCCGAGUUUCCCAGUAGUAAAUAUGACUUGAGAGGCGUUCACAUCUAAUUUCCGAUUAGGAAACUCGUAUUUAUGAUACUCUGAUAGCACGUGAAGGCAGCAAUAUUCUGGUCCUUUAAUAUGGUUCUGUCCUUCAAUGUCUGUGCGGUUUUUAUAGUCUGACAGGCGACAGUUGUAAAGGUGUGGUUAUAUGAUUGGAUCAUGCAAUGAUUGGAUUUCGAUUGAAUUUUCCAGAUAAAUUGUAAAUGUGACUUUCCCUUGAUAACCUUACAUGAUUUAAUGCAUCAUGUUCAUAGCAAAAACAAAAGAAGUUGAAUAAUAAGGCUUACGGGUUUAGAAGGCUUAGAGGCUUUUUUUAAUAAGUCUCAUUACUCAGAAAUGUUUUAAACUUGCUGAAUUGCACACAUUGUCUAAAGUCGGAGAUUUAAGGUAAGUAUCGCUUACAAAUAGUGAAAUGGAGAAAAGGUACUCAGCACAUUUUGCACUUCUAAUAUCAACAGCAGAUCAAACUGAACAUCAGAAAUUGUUUUUCUUUGUGAAAGUUUCCCUUUGAACAGCCAAAGCUCUACACUCGGUCCAAAAUAUCCAAAAGAGAUGAAAAUACUCAUUUCUGGUUUAAGGUCGGUGCUGUCCAAGUUGCUUACUUCUGAAUCAUUCGCUUUCAUCUGUGUUUCCUGUUUUGAGUGAGGCUAUGUUGCAUUUGCAGGUGGUGGGAAAUCUCACGCUCGCUUCUUUCACACCCACUUUGUGCCCCUCAAAAAACACUGCAGAAGCAAAAACAUCUGCUGCAGUCUGUGGGAGAACAAUGAAUUAAAACUCAAAGCCCAGAGCCCAACACAAAUAUACAAUCUUAGGGGUUUUUUUAGGGUCUUUCCUUUCCUGCUGCUGCAUGAAACUGCUGUCAGCCACUCUGUGUGUGCAGACCGUGAGAGCUGAAAUUAUAUAAAGAGCUUACAUGACUCAAGCUGUGAGAGGGUGCUGUAGAGAAACAAGCAUGGGCUUGAUGGCUGUGCUCUCGUAAGAUCUGAACACCACCUUUUGGACCAUGAUUGUGCCAAUGAUGAAGGCUGAUGAUGCAAACCUCAGUAACAAGGAGUGUCCAAACUUGCUCCUGGAGGACCAAUGUCCUGCAGAGUUUGGCUCCAACACACGUAAAUAAAUUAAAACAUCGGCCAGUAACACACCUGCUCUUUCUGAGUCCAUCAUUUGUGCUGUGCAGUGGGGUAUGUGAAUAAUGGCAGUAAAAAAAUUAACCACAAUUCUUAGCGAAUAAUAAGAAUAAUGGAAAUUGCAUGUAAACAGGAGUGAAGAGCUUUGCUCUUGACAUGUAAACAUCAUAAUGCGAUUAAGUCCUUACUCUGAUUAUUGGAAAUAAUUGCAUUAUUCGUGCACAUGUAAACGUAGUCAGUGUAAGUCGGCAAGACCGCAAGUGCACAUGAAGUGUGCCAUUUGGGACAGGGCCUGAGACUAGUGAAGACCUUGAAUGACGUAGCUCAUUAAGGUGUGUUUAUUUAGGGUUGGAGCUAAACCUUGCAGGACAGUAGCCCUCCAGGAACAAGUUUGGACACACCUUUCAAUAACAGACCGGGGACUGGAGGACUACCUUUCUACAUAGUUCAACACACCUGCCUGUAAUUUUUAAGCAAUCUUGAACACCUUGAUCAGCUGGUUCAGGUGCAUUUGAUAAAACUUUGUAGGAAGUUACACCUACUGUUAUUCCUGCAGUAGAUGAUUUCACACUUGUCAACUUGUUUCUGAAAUCUUGAAAUGGCUUCUUACAUUUGUCACAAACACUUCUUAUAGCAGUGGUUCCCAACCACAUUUCUGGAGCCGCACCAACACUGCACAUUUUGCAUCCCUCUGAAACUCCCCUUUUAGAUCUUGGAGUCUCUACUAAUGAGCCGAUGACAUGAAUCAGGUGUGUUUGAUUAAGAAGACAUGCAAAAUGUGGAAACCACUGUCCUUUAUAGCCUGUUUACACCUGGUCACUUCAUGCGUUUUCUCUGAUCGGAUAGCUGUCUGAUCAUGAAAAGACCAGGUGUAAAUGCUCUCUGAAACACUUUCGAGAUGCAUUUAAAUCCAAACACUCAAACCACUUCAGGAGGUGGUCUGGGCCGCAUUCCAGACAAAACUGGACAAGUGUAAAUGCAUGUGGUUGUUGAAACCACAUAUGCAAAUUUUACUCUUCCAAAAAUCUUACAAUAAUAAAUGUGUGAGAGCGUUUUAUAGGCUAUAUGGCAUGUAAUAGUCAGAUUUGACGGCGCUAAUGCAACACGCAUCGCCAUGAAUGAGUAGCAGAUUACCUCCUCAGCAAGCCAACACGCAAACUGCCACAAAGGAAACUGACAGUAUGUCGUAGACGCUCAACACAUAAUCAUCUUCAUUAAAAGUAGUCAGACUAACCUAUCUUUCCAGUGCUGAUGCCGUGCUCUCUCCUGUUGUGGUCUUUGAUCUUGAAAUUAGCUGAUAAUGAAAAAAAAUCAAAUAAAAUGCAGUGCAUAUCUGUUGCUUUCGUUGACGUGAACUCCAUCAUAUAGCGCAGGAAUUGAAUACUGGACUUAUAUCUGUUUUGCGAAGACACAUUUAUGUGGCCAAGUGUAAAUGGAAACGUUUUAACAAAUCAGAUAGAAAUCCUAUCAGAGAAAACACAUGAAGUGACCAGGUGUAAAUAGGCCCAUAGAGUUUGCUUGCUGUUUGCAAGUUGAUAUGGCAUCAAAAAUUUUGGACCAAAAUAUAUUUGUUGGGCCAUGGCUUCUCUGCUAAACUUUGACCUGGAAUUCACUUCUAAGGCCAUGAGAGGCGGCCUAAUAAGUCAAGAAGAAAAAUCCAAAUUACUCAUUCUUCCCUGUGCCUGUGAAGAGUUGGUAAGGCUAACUCAGCAGGGAGUUGAGAUGUUGGGCAUUUAACUUCUGACAAACACUUUUGUGUGCAUCAACUCCCUUCAUUUUUCAAAUGCUUAUGUAAAUUAGGCAAAUGGGAAAAAUGGUUAGUGAGCUGCUGAAGAUCUGAGAGUGUUUGUGAUUAACCAGCCCUGCUGAAUGUUUAACCUCUGAUUUAACAGCUUCCAUUGGACCGGCAUCAUUGUCACCUAAACCUGAUUCCUACCCUCCAGCCCUGGAUUUAAUUUCUGGUGUCUCAUCCACAAGAAGAUGAUUUAGGAUCCAAAUGAACCUAUUUAUGACCUUAGUCAUAGUGUCACCCAUAAACAGGUUUGAGGGUAAGUCAGAAGCUUACUUUAUCUCACUUAAGCACUGAAAUUUGAGUUAACCCGAUGAGAGUUAAUAUUCUUUUAACUGUGACCUAGUUUGCCUUGAGAGUUUGUGUAGCGGCCCGUCCACCUGAAUGCAUGUAUCCUGACAAGACCCACUCUUUUUAGCCUGCUAGAAAUGUAAAUCUCCGCAACAUUGCUUUUCAGUUACUAAUAAUCUCCACAUGAGCCCUGCUUCACAACACAGCUUGAUUUGAGGCAGCAAUAUCUCAUUUCAUUUCUCCUCAGAGUCAGCUUUGAUGCGGCAGCAAUGUCCUUAGUUGACUCUUAAAGUCUCGAGAAGGACAGCAUGUGUACUUAUUAAAAACCUGAUGGGUUUCUAAUGGGAAUCUGAUCUGAUGCAUGCAUUUCAGGACAUAGAUCUUCCUGCAAGACUAACCUUCAGCUUCCAUCACCAUGAUGACCUAAUGUCCAAUGGCUGCAAUGUCUGAUACACUCUAUCAGAUUUGGUUGGCAUACAUCUUCAGGAUGGGUCAUAAACUUGGCCAGAAUCACGUCUUGGCUGCUAGUUUGGGUGGAGGUGGAAAGAAGCGCUACUGCC
This is a long non-coding RNA of Onychostoma macrolepis, 5900 nucleotides long. RefSeq lists it as uncharacterized. Lineage: Eukaryota; Metazoa; Chordata; Actinopteri; Cypriniformes; Cyprinidae. The record is from RefSeq and is a predicted model, not a curated record. The transcript is spliced from 3 exons.